GAAAUGCUGGCUCUCAGUGAUGCUUAGACGGAAAACCACGCACCCCACACAGAGGUUGGAACCACCCAUUCCCAGGUUGUCCUGAGGAGCCAUGAUUUUUCCAGGAGCUGGGUAAAGGGCACCAGGAUCAGCCUCUCAAAGGAUUCCAGCUGGCUGUUCCAAUCCAGGAGGAAAGCUGUGCCAUCGAAGUCUCCCAGCACCUGUGCAGUGAAGUGCCACUUAACCCCGCUGUGAUGCACAGACCUUGCCCCGGCUGUCUGCACAGGGCUGAAUUUCACCCCUUCUGAGUGUAUUCUAAGGGCCCCCCGUACAAGUUCCCCAACCCACCACCCUUUCUUUAAUCAUAAUAAUAUAAUUCAUAAUAAAUGACUAUUCAUCAGAAGAAAGAAAGAACGUCCUAGUUCUUACAUCUCCUGCUUUCUUUGCAUGUGUCAGUCUUCCUUAGAUCAUAGGGGCUUUGUAUUAGGGAGUGUCCUUACUUUCUCUGUCUUGUAAAGCGCACACUAGUGACACUGACCAGAUAAAUAAUGGAGACAUCGCACACACAAAAAAAUAACCAAGCCCUUUGUUAUGGAGACUGUUCUCCUCAGUAAAGCAAGCUAUAAAUAUUAGGAAAUGCACAAGGACUAAAAAGCUGCAAAGUGAAGCACUCUCAAGUUAGGAAAUACCAGAAUAAGCAUUGCCUGUGCAAAGUUAACUCUGCAAGAAAUGAGGCAGGGAUCCUACAGGCAAAAGACUCCUUCAAUACACAGCCCCAGAGCAGAAAGCCCUCUGUGCUGAAUAAGGAAGGGGUUCUGUGGGAAAAAAAUACUAUGGGAUCAUGUCAUUAAAGUCUGCAUCAUCCUGCAAAUGCAGAAGAGGGCUGAAUUGAGGGUGCCAGGGCCAGGGCCGUCCUUAGGAUUUCUGGUGCCCUAGGCGAGAUUAUUAAACUGGUGCCCCUGUGCCUGAUCUGCUCUUA
Molecule: long non-coding RNA, 958 nt
Organism: Mauremys mutica (yellowpond turtle)
Lineage: Eukaryota; Metazoa; Chordata; Testudines; Geoemydidae
Exons: 3
Source: RefSeq, a predicted model, not a curated record